GCCCGCCCCGCCGGCCGAGUGCGCUCGUCGCCCGCCGCGCUCCGGGCGCUCGAGGAGGACGGCGCGGGGGAGGCGCGCGGCUGGGGGGAGCGCACGGGGGCCCGUGCUCCGGGUUCCCUGGGAGGCGCACGGGCCGGCCGGGCGCGGCGGGCGCGCCACCUCCUGGGGCACCAGGGGCGCUUCCGCGCUCGGUCAGGAAGGAGGCUCAGAAAGCGGCCGGGCGGGACGCUGCCCCCGUGCGCCGCCCCGUCCCCUUCGCGGGUUCCCUCCUCCGCCAGCCGGGCGGACGCCCCUCGGGCCCGCGCGCUCCGCUCCUUUGUUCGGGGGCCGUUCCGCACAGCGGCCGGGGCGGCGGGCGUCGAGACGGCCAGGGUCCGGGCGGCGGGGCGCCUGGCGGGGACAAUGAGGCCGUGCGGCCGCGCGCGCGGAGGGCUUCCUCCGGGUCCUCGCGGUGCCGGGGGCGAGCCCGGGGCUGGAAGGCAGGGGCCUCCCGGGUGCUCCCCGCGUGGUCCGGGAAGAGCGAGCGAGCGCCGGAGCCUCGGCUUCCUUUCCUGGGGAGCCAUCCCCGCCCCGCCCGGCCCCUGGGUUCAGGGGCUCCACUGUGACAAUGGACGGGAGCGCGCUUGGUCGUCAGCGGACAGUUACGGGAGCGCCAGGCGCACGCCCGUCCCCGCCCCGCCCGCUCACCUGGAGCUGUCAGGGGAAGAGGUGCUGAUUACUUCCUUGGGGAGAUGAGGCUCGCCAGCCUUACAGCAGUUAUUUCCUCAGGAUGUUUACGUCAGCUCCCCGAGCCUGGGAUGGUGGAGGCAGAGCUGUGCCUGCAGGUGACUGCAGACGUUCAGUGAAUCACACGUCUUAGCCACAUGAAGGAUCAGCUACAGCUCUGAGCCGAGGAGUGCACAGGAAGCUGCCUGCCCUGAGGGGCCCAAGUGCCCUGCGGCUCAGGUCGCCCUCCACAGACCAGAAGGCCUCAGCAAACCUGCAGAGAUCAGCGUGGUCUUCUGAAGACAUCCGUGGAGUCGAAGGCCCUCCUGCGAGGCCAGGAGGGUGAUGAUUAUGGUGAAGAGAGAGGCCUCAAACUAUUUUGCACACAUCUUGCUUACUUUUGCAAAGUGAAUAGCUGGCAAAAGAAACUAAAAUCCUCAUGGGAACACCAGCGCACCCUGUGUCAACUCGUUGAACAUUCCCCGAGCACCUGCACGCUGUGUCACAGGCACAGCAGAACGUGCUGAUGACACAGAAGUGGACGAGGCAGAAGGCGCCUUCCCCUGGAACCCUGGUCACGUCCAAACCCGGCCACACAGCAGGCUGAGUGCCCAAAGAGGGUCCUGGGAACAUUUCCCAGUCGUGCUUCCCAAGAAUGAGGAGUGAGAAUUAACUGAGCCCAGUGCCUAGCGUGGAAUCAGCAUCGUGUCUAGUAGGAACUCGACAAACAGCCCUUGGCGAUGACCGGACAGCAGGUGAGAAUUUAGAGUUCUCGCCGCCUUGGGGUUCCGCCCUGGACCCCGGUCACAUGGGAGGAGCAACCUUGGACGUGACCCUGCCUCCACCCCUUCUGUCCCCCUCCAGCCUCAGUCCCACACCCAGGACACGUGUGUAGACGCCUCCGCUCCCUCCAGGCCCUGCUUCCUGCCCUCACAUCCUUGGACACGCUGGGCUAGGUGCACAACCCUCAUGUGGAAGACCCAGUGGACUAUCUGGAGAGGGGUCCACACAGACUCCAAGGGGGCAGCAAGGUCGGGACGCUCUGAAGCACGGGGCCCAGGGCAGGGACCUCUUGUCUGACACAUCACAUAACUUAAAAGAGAGCGAUUUGAGUAUAAAAUAAAAAUUGCAAUGAGUGCUGUUGUCUCCGUUUUACACAUGGGAAGGAUUACAAGUAAACCCUAUUCUGCUGGACGGGACCCUUGUAAGUAUCUUCCACUUGUAGCAUUUCUCACUCGCUCCAACCUUCGUUGCUCCUCCCUUUAUUCUCUCUCUCCCUCCUUUCCCUCCUCUCUUCCUUCCCUCCUUCCCUUCCUUCUUUGCACACAUAUUUAGCGUGCCUGUGUGCCAGGCACUGCCGGGCCCUGGGGUUCGAGGAUAAUCAAGACAAAUGUGCUCGGGGGCCUUGCAGUCUGACGAGCAGCCUGGCGUCGAUCGUACACAAAUAAACGUGUAAUUACAAACCGGGCCUAGCGCGCAGCAGAUAAGCACGCACUGAUUUGUGGGUUGCCUUUGAUUUAAGGUUUCCUGCUGAGUCGGGGAGGAAUGUAAAUCUGUUUUUCUCUUAAAGCCAGAGGCCUCAUAUUUCCAGGAACCUCCGAAAUGGAUGCAUUUGGUACAGCUCACCAGCUCUGGGUGCGCUCCCUGCGAGCACGUGAGCUAAUUUCAUUGAAUCAGCUCUACUGCUUUAUUGCUGUAGAGAAACGUGGCCAAAAAUUUCAGAGGCGCAAAUUCCGGCAGUUUACAAGGCCAACUGUCCGCUUGUAGAAGGCGCGGGUUUUACGAGAGACCCCGACGCCUGAGUCUCCUGGAAACGCAGAGGGUGGGGUGGGAGACCCACUUUCCCGUGAAUGUCCACUUGUGACACAGCAAAGGCGAGAGUUGCGAGUCACCCGGUGUCCCAUGACUUUUCUCCGCGCGCCCCGCUCGAGACGAUUCCUAGCGAAGGCCCCUCAAGGUGUGGGGACGGUGACCGCUUUGGAACCAGCAGGCCCUCAGUGAGCAGGAGGCAGAGGGUGGGCCCGCUCCUCACAGCCACAGCGGCGAGAGGAGACUUUCCCACGACUGUCGCUCUUGUCCACGCGGAUGCGGCAGAGCACGUGGCCACCCCGUAGCUCUGUCCUGAAGGGGAGAAUCCUCCAAGGGAAACCCACUAGAGCCUUACCCGUGGCGAUCUGAAUUUCUGACUGCCCGUUGAUCUUACGUCUUCUCCCUAACGGUUUUCAGUUUCCAGUAAGGAGUAAAUAAAUCCCCAGGAAAUUCACCUUGGAAAAGGAACGAUGAUGUCUUCUCCUCCCCUGUCCCAGACCGAACAUUCAGCUUUUUAACAUUUUUAUCCCCCGCAGAGGAAAGCCUCAUUUCAAAGACUUUUUUAGCACAUGCGCAUUCACACAUGCGCGUGCGCACGCACAUGCACACGCGCACACACAUUUUCCGGCUCCUUCCUGCUUCAGGUUCUGUGCAGCUGCUCCAGGCCCAGCCACCUGCCCGUGGGAACUGGCGCCCCUGGGGUGGGUGCCAGCCCUUCGCUGGAGCGUCCUCUGCUGCCAUACCGGCUCCAAGGCUACACAGACCCCCGGCCCCGUGACCAAGCGCCCCACCUCCCCUGAGGGCUGUGUGUCCGGUUUGUCCUCUCCAUCCUGCCCUGCGGGACCCGCCUGGGAUGCAUGUCCCCUGAGUUACAUACAGACUUUGAGGCGAGCAUACGUUGUUUGGGGGUUUUGGGGUUUUUGUGGGAUUUGGAAAAAACAUCCAACGCUAGAAUCAGAACUGAGAAAAGAAUGAAGAAGGCAGCCCAUCUUGUCUCCAGAGCAUCUUUGAUCCCAGGAGCCUGCAACUUUCCAUCAGCCUCUCAAAUGCCCCGAGCGAGUGAGUCCUAGGGAGCCUCCACACAAAUGCCACCUCCCCGGUGAAGCCUCCAGACUGACCCCAGAAUUGAAAACGGUCCUCUCCUGUCAUCCCCCGGUGAGCGCGGGGGCCCCU
Molecule: long non-coding RNA, 3687 nt
Organism: Equus asinus (donkey)
Lineage: Eukaryota; Metazoa; Chordata; Mammalia; Perissodactyla; Equidae
Source: Ensembl